RNAcentral lists this ribosomal RNA (442 nucleotides) under uncultured bacterium. RNAcentral describes it as "bacterial SSU rRNA". It matches the Rfam family "Bacterial small subunit ribosomal RNA", at positions 199 to 632 of the family's 1533-position model. The record is from RNAcentral.
GGGGAUCGCAAGACCUUGCGCUAAAGGAGCGGCCGAUGUCUGAUUAGCUAGUUGGUGGGGUAAAGGCUUACCAAGGCAACGAUCAGUAGUUGGUCUGAGAGGACGACCAACCACACUGGGACUGAGACACGGCCCAGACUCCUACGGGAGGCAGCAGUGGGGAAUUUUGGACAAUGGGCGAAAGCCUGAUCCAGCCAUGCCGCGUGAGUGAAGAAGGCCUUCGGGUUGUAAAGCUCUUUUAGUCGGAAAGAAAGAGUUGCAAUGAAUAAUUGUGAUUUAUGACGGUACCGACAGAAAAAGCACCGGCUAACUACGUGCCAGCAGCCGCGGUAAUACGUAGGGUGCGAGCGNUAAUCGGAAUUACUGGGCGUAAAGGGUGCGCAGGCGGUCUUGCAAGUCAGAUGUGAAAGCCCCGGGCUUAACCUGGGAAUUGCGUUUGAAA